This 238-nucleotide ribosomal RNA is filed under the name uncultured bacterium. RNAcentral describes it as "partial 16S ribosomal RNA". It matches the Rfam family "Bacterial small subunit ribosomal RNA", at positions 103 to 334 of the family's 1533-position model. The record is from RNAcentral.
CGGGUGAGUAAUACAUAAGUAACCUGCCCUAGACAGGGGGAUAACUAUUGGAAACGAUAGCUAAGACCGCAUAGGUACGGACACUGCAUGGUGACCGUAUUAAAAGUGCCUCAAAGCACUGGUAGAGGAUGGACUUAUGGCGCAUUAGCUGGUUGGCGGGGUAACGGCCCACCAAGGCGACGAUGCGUAGCCGACCUGAGGGGGUGACCGGCCACACUGGGACUGAGACACGGCCCAG